UGAUGUGAGAAUGAUCUAUGACAUAUGUCACCUCGUGAUUACCACUGUUGAUUAGGCUGAGCUGGCUGGCUGGGCUAGCACCCAUUCUUCUCCCAAAGCUUCUUGGAUCCUUCUAAAAACUGCACCUGACCACUUGGGCUGAGAAGGUACAUUUUCAGGGAGAGAAUAAUCAACUGUUGAUAAGAUACAUAACGGGGCUGAGCUCUCCUGCUACACACUUUACACCAGCUUGCACGUUCUACUUGGUGGCAUACCGUAGCCACAUCAAAAGUGGGAGCUCUUUUAUUU
Molecule: unclassified non-coding RNA, 288 nt
Organism: Panthera pardus (leopard)
Lineage: Eukaryota; Metazoa; Chordata; Mammalia; Carnivora; Felidae
Gene: 7SK
Rfam family: 7SK RNA
About the family: 7SK was discovered as an abundant small nuclear RNA in the mid-70s but a possible function has only recently been suggested. Two independent studies have found that 7SK RNA binds the CDK9/cyclin T complex (known as elongation factor P-TEFb).
Source: Ensembl